RNAcentral lists this ribosomal RNA (649 nucleotides) under Pseudoalteromonas sp. RNAcentral's name for it is "bacterial SSU rRNA". It matches the Rfam family "Bacterial small subunit ribosomal RNA", at positions 385 to 1026 of the family's 1533-position model. The record is from RNAcentral. Lineage: Bacteria; Pseudomonadati; Pseudomonadota; Gammaproteobacteria; Alteromonadales; Pseudoalteromonadaceae.
GAUGCAGCCAUGCCGCGUGUGUGAAGAAGGCCUUCGGGUUGUAAAGCACUUUCAGUAAGGAGGAAAGGUUAAGUGUUAAUAGCAGCUUAGCUGUGACGUUACUUACAGAAGAAGCACCGGCUAACUCCGUGCCAGCAGCCGCGGUAAUACGGAGGGUGCGAGCGUUAAUCGGAAUUACUGGGCGUAAAGCGUACGCAGGCGGUUUGUUAAGCGAGAUGUGAAAGCCCCGGGCUCAACCUGGGAACUGCAUUUCGAACUGGCAAACUAGAGUGUGAUAGAGGGUGGUAGAAUUUCAGGUGUAGCGGUGAAAUGCGUAGAGAUCUGAAGGAAUACCGAUGGCGAAGGCAGCCACCUGGGUCAACACUGACGCUCAUGUACGAAAGCGUGGGGAGCAAACAGGAUUAGAUACCCUGGUAGUCCACGCCGUAAACGAUGUCUACUAGAAGCUCGGGUCUUCGGACUUGUUUUUCAAAGCUAACGCAUUAAGUAGACCGCCUGGGGAGUACGGCCGCAAGGUUAAAACUCAAAUGAAUUGACGGGGGCCCGCACAAGCGGUGGAGCAUGUGGUUUAAUUCGAUGCAACGCGAAGAACCUUACCUACACUUGACAUACAGAGAACUUACCAGAGAUGGUUUGGUGCCUUCGGGAA